UACUACGGCCAUACCAGUCUGAAAGUGCCUGAUCUCGUCAGAUCUCAGAAGACAUCCAGACUCGGGCCUGGUUAGUACGUAUAAUCAUUUGUUGCUUUUAUAC
Pelobates cultripes (western spadefoot toad) is the source of this 103-nucleotide non-coding RNA. NCBI's taxonomy places the organism in Eukaryota, Metazoa, Chordata, Amphibia, Anura, Pelobatidae. The record is from the annotation of a GenBank genome assembly.